RNAcentral lists this ribosomal RNA (253 nucleotides) under uncultured bacterium. Its description in RNAcentral is "partial 16S ribosomal RNA". It matches the Rfam family "Bacterial small subunit ribosomal RNA", at positions 524 to 776 of the family's 1533-position model. The record is from RNAcentral.
UACGUAGGGGGCAAGCGUUGUCCGGAAUUAUUGGGCGUAAAGCGCGUGUAGGCGGCUCGGUAAGUCUGCUGUGAAAGUCCAAGGCUCAACCCUGGAAGGCCGGUGGAAACUGUCGGGCUAGAGUCCGGAAGAGGCGAGUGGAAUUCCCGGUGUAGCGGUGAAAUGCGCAGAUAUCGGGAGGAACACCAAUGGCGAAGGCAGCUCGCUGGGACGGUACUGACGCUGAGACGCGAAAGCGUGGGGAGCAAACAGG